Molecule: long non-coding RNA, 1745 nt
Organism: Pogoniulus pusillus (Red-fronted tinkerbird)
Lineage: Eukaryota; Metazoa; Chordata; Aves; Piciformes; Lybiidae
Exons: 5
Source: RefSeq, a predicted model, not a curated record
GGCCGGGCCCGGGCGGGUGGUGGCGGCGGCGCGGCCUGGGCUGUGCGUGGGCCGCGGAGGGCGCGGGGCUGAGCCGCCCCCGAGUGAGCGCAUCGCGGGCUGAGGAGUGCGGGGAGAAGGAGGGCGGCUGGAGCUCCGCUGAGCACUUCGGAGUCCCGGCUGAGGGGCAGUCUGCCCUAGCUCCAGCUCGGUUCCGCCGGGCAUGCUGCCCUCCUCCCCUGCCUGGUGUGCUUCGUGCCCUUCCCGUCUGUGACAGUGGGAGGUGAUAACCCAAACCCUUCCUUUGUGGAUGACAGAACAGUUAAAGCUUUCCUCUGCUGCGGGCUGACUGAUCAGCCAAAGCCUUCACACAUGGCUGUGCUCAUGCCCGUUGGGAUGCCAGUGUUGGGGGAGGGGAUGAAGAGCUGAACAUAGCAGCUCUGGAGAGAGCUCAUCCAUGCCGCUGGUGCAAGGUGCCAUCCCCUCCAUGCUGCCGUGCCACAGAGAUCCUCUGCCACUGCAUUGUCUUCUUUGGUACAUGGAGUCUGAGCUGCCUGGCCUGUGGACACCUCAGGAGCAGCUGGUCCAGCUGUGCUCUCAUCCAGUGACUGCCAGCUUGGAGGCAGGAGUGGUUUUAGAAGUCUUGUGGACAGCUUUAUAUUCACUUACCCCUUCCUGAGCAGGAGCUUCUGUGGGGAGUCUGUACCUCGGUGUAGAGUUCUGGUGCUCUUCUCCUAACAGGAGAAGCCAGGUGGUUGGGAGGUCAGAAGACACCUGAGCAGCUAACUCAUUGCUUUUGAGUUGUGGCUGUGGCUUGGGGUCACUGAACAUGUGUUAGAAGACUUGCUGGACUAGAGCCUGAGCUGGCUGCUGGAUGGGUGACACAAGUGUCUGAUGAGCACUUCUGCCUUCCCAAAGGACACAGGAAUAAGGGAGAGAGACUGAUGGGUUAGGAAAGAAACUAAACCAGCUGGGAUGGAAAGAAGAACAAUCCCACAAAAUAGAGACAGAGAGAAACAAACCAAUAUGGAACCCAGUCCCUGAUGGUAGUAGAGGGUCACCACUGAUGCUGGGGUCAGGCACUGGGGAAGUCUCAGGCUGGAUUCAGCAGCAGAUGGGAACCAGAUUCAGGAACUGGAUUCUGGGAAUGGACUCAGGAACAAGUGGAUCAGUGUGGAAAGUAGAAUGGACAGAGUCAUUGCUCCAUUCCCCUCAUCAUCCUUGCAGCCCUCUGCUGAACUCUCUCCAGCAGUUCCCUGUCCCUCUGCAACUGGGGAGCCCAAAACUGUUCUCUGAUCUGUAGUCUAAGGAGAGGGCAGUGAAGAGGGAGGUAGGUAAAGAACUACCAUCUAAUACUGGCACCACAGUCCUCAUCAGACACCAGACACUGAAGAAGAGGCUUGGUCUGCUCAGGGGCAACUCUAAGGCAGAGCCUUUCUGCAGCCCUUGGCAGGAUCGCUCCCAAUUAGCUUCUCUCCCGUACCAGCAGCUCCUGGCUGUGCAGAUCUGCCCUGAACUGCAGAAGGUACUUCAGUGAGAAGAGACAGAGCUGGGCAGUGACAGCACUGAGCAGAACUGGUUCUGGCCUAGCUCACACUAGGACAUUUGUAGUUGAGUUCCAGCAGUGGAGUGUUGAGCAGCUCCAGGGCUGCGGUAGUGUGAUUGUAAUGAGCAGGAGGAGGAAUGCCUGUGUGGUACCUGACUGUGGAGAAGUCACCAAGUUGUAAGCCCAAAGGUUGGUUUAAUAAAAGUAGUGUUUGAUGAAA